UACGGGGGGGGCAAGCGUUGUUCGGAAUUACUGGGCGUAAAGGGCUCGUAGGCGGCCAACUAAGUCGGACGUGAAAUCCCCAGGCUCAACCUGGGAACUGCGUCCGAUACUGGAUGGCUUGAAUCCGGGAGAGGGAUGCAGAAUUCCAGGUGUAGCGGUGAAAUGCGUAGAUAUCUGGAGGAAUACCGGUGGCGAAGGCGGCAUCCUGGACCGGCAUUGACGCUGAGGAGCGGAAGCCAGGGGAGCAAACGGG
RNAcentral lists this ribosomal RNA (253 nucleotides) under uncultured bacterium. Its description in RNAcentral is "partial 16S ribosomal RNA". It matches the Rfam family "Bacterial small subunit ribosomal RNA", at positions 524 to 776 of the family's 1533-position model. The record is from RNAcentral.